Molecule: ribosomal RNA, 427 nt
Filed under: uncultured Legionella sp.
Lineage: Bacteria; Pseudomonadati; Pseudomonadota; Gammaproteobacteria; Legionellales; Legionellaceae
Description: partial 16S ribosomal RNA
Rfam family: Bacterial small subunit ribosomal RNA
Source: RNAcentral
UGGGGAAUAUUGGACAAUGGGGGCAACCCUGAUCCAGCAAUGCCGCGUGUGUGAAGAAGGCCUGAGGGUUGUAAAGCACUUUCAGUGGGGAGGAGGAUUGACAGGUUAAGAGCUGGUCAAUUGGACGUUACCCACAGAAGAAGCACCGGCUAACUCCGUGCCAGCAGCCGCGGUAAUACGGAGGGUGCGAGCGUUAAUCGGAAUUACUGGGCGUAAAGGGUGCGUAGGUGGUUUGGUAAGUUAUCUGUGAAAUUCCUGGGCUUAACCUGGGACGGUCAGAUAAUACUGCUGAACUCGAGUGUGGGAGAGGGUAGUGGAAUUUCCGGUGUAGCGGUGAAAUGCGUAGAGAUCGGAAGGAACACCAGUGGCGAAGGCGGCUACCUGGCCCAACACUGACACUGAGGCACGAAAGCGUGGGGAGCAAACA